RNAcentral lists this ribosomal RNA (831 nucleotides) under Bacillus sp. (in: firmicutes). RNAcentral describes it as "bacterial SSU rRNA". It matches the Rfam family "Bacterial small subunit ribosomal RNA", at positions 74 to 888 of the family's 1533-position model. The record is from RNAcentral. Lineage: Bacteria; Bacillati; Bacillota; Bacilli; Caryophanales; Bacillaceae.
GGGAGCUUGCUCCCUGAUGUUAGCGGCGGACGGGUGAGUAACACGUGGGUAACCUGCCUGUAAGACUGGGAUAACUCCGGGAAACCGGGGCUAAUACCGGAUGGUUGUCUGAACCGCAUGGUUCAGACAUAAAAGGUGGCUUCGGCUACCACUUACAGAUGGACCCGCGGCGCAUUAGCUAGUUGGUGAGGUAACGGCUCACCAAGGCGACGAUGCGUAGCCGACCUGAGAGGGUGAUCGGCCACACUGGGACUGAGACACGGCCCAGACUCCUACGGGAGGCAGCAGUAGGGAAUCUUCCGCAAUGGACGAAAGUCUGACGGAGCAACGCCGCGUGAGUGAUGAAGGUUUUCGGAUCGUAAAGCUCUGUUGUUAGGGAAGAACAAGUGCCGUUCAAAUAGGGCGGCACCUUGACGGUACCUAACCAGAAAGCCACGGCUAACUACGUGCCAGCAGCCGCGGUAAUACGUAGGUGGCAAGCGUUGUCCGGAAUUAUUGGGCGUAAAGGGCUCGCAGGCGGUUUCUUAAGUCUGAUGUGAAAGCCCCCGGCUCAACCGGGGAGGGUCAUUGGAAACUGGGGAACUUGAGUGCAGAAGAGGAGAGUGGAAUUCCACGUGUAGCGGUGAAAUGCGUAGAGAUGUGGAGGAACACCAGUGGCGAAGGCGACUCUCUGGUCUGUAACUGACGCUGAGGAGCGAAAGCGUGGGGAGCGAACAGGAUUAGAUACCCUGGUAGUCCACGCCGUAAACGAUGAGUGCUAAGUGUUAGGGGGUUUCCGCCCCUUAGUGCUGCAGCUAACGCAUUAAGCACUCCGCCUGGGGAGUACGGUCG